RNAcentral lists this unclassified non-coding RNA (221 nucleotides) under uncultured Chytridiomycetes. RNAcentral describes it as "sequence contains ITS2". The record is from RNAcentral. Lineage: Eukaryota; Fungi; Chytridiomycota; Chytridiomycetes.
GUAUUUAUUUCUGGAUUUCUUUUCAAGUUUUCCGGAAGAUUUGAGAUGUCUUCUCCUCGUUUGAGCGAGUAUCUUUAAAGCUAUAGCCUCUUUUGUGGUAAAACAACUCUGCAGAACAGUAUUUGAAUGGAACCUUGGUUUCUCAUAAUGCCUAAUAUGCAGACUUACCAAUUGAAAGGGAGGUCCAUAACUCUAAAGUCAUCUUUCAGAUGACUUGAACC